This 38-nucleotide transfer RNA is filed under the name Moniliophthora perniciosa FA553. RNAcentral describes it as "tRNA-Glu". Lineage: Eukaryota; Fungi; Basidiomycota; Agaricomycetes; Agaricales; Marasmiaceae. The record is from RNAcentral.
UCCGUUAUGGUGUAGUGGCGAACAUUAUCGCCUCUCGU